CUACAAUUCCCAUAAUCCCAUGCGUGCUACUCUGACGCCUCCUCUCUACAAGCGGCAAUGGCGGAAGCAAAAGAAACACGGACUUUAAAUCUGAUGUGUCGAAAAAGUUCGCGUUCGCUGUGACAAGAAACGAGGAAGGACAAAAUGUGAUGGACAUUCAAAAAACGAGAAUUGACCCAUCUUAAAACCCAUCAUCUUUUCUUGAUUCUACAAUCACAACCGUUGCUUUCAUAGGAGUACCAAGCAUUAGCAUUAAUAUUAAUAAUAAUAAAAACUAGGUCAAUUGAGGGAGUCACUCAAUUCUUAAAACCUGACUGAUUGGGAGUUGUUUAAAGUCGACAAACUAAAAUGAAACUUAAUUUUUC
Non-coding RNA from Misgurnus anguillicaudatus (oriental weatherfish), 365 nucleotides. The record is from RefSeq and is a predicted model, not a curated record. NCBI's taxonomy places the organism in Eukaryota, Metazoa, Chordata, Actinopteri, Cypriniformes, Cobitidae.